This 344-nucleotide RNase P RNA is filed under the name Candidatus Saccharimonadota bacterium. RNAcentral describes it as "RNase P RNA component class A". It matches the Rfam family "Bacterial RNase P class A". Rfam says of the family: Ribonuclease P (RNase P) is a ubiquitous endoribonuclease, found in archaea, bacteria and eukarya as well as chloroplasts and mitochondria. Its best characterised activity is the generation of mature 5'-ends of tRNAs by cleaving the 5'-leader elements of precursor-tRNAs. Lineage: Bacteria; Candidatus Saccharimonadota. The record is from RNAcentral.
UGAGCCAGAAAGGCAAUCGCUUGGGUUCGCCCAAGAGGAAAGUCCGGGCAACAUAGAGCAAGGUAGUCGCUAACGGCGACCGUCCGCAAGGACAGGGAAAGUACCACAGAAACAAUACCGCCCCGUUUGGGGUAAGGGUGAAAAGAGUGGGGUAAGAGCCCACAGCAUCUCGUAGCGAUACGUGGUGGCGGCAAACCCUACCUGUUGCAAGGAGUGCUAUUCGCCCCUGCUCGGGGACGCACGUUCACCGCUCGAACAUUGUAGCAAUGCAGUGUCUAGAUAGAUGAUUGCCAGUCGCGCCUCACGGCACAACUACAGAACCCGGCUUAUAGACGGCUCAUUUA